AUACGUAGGUGACAAGCGUUAUCCGGAUUUACUGGGCGUAAAGGGCGUGUAGGCGGUCUUGCAAGUCAGAAGUGAAAUUCCUGAGCUCAACUCGGGCGCUGCUUCUGAAACUGCAGGACUUGAGUGCUGGAGGGGAUAGCGGAAUUCCUAGUGGAGCGGUAAAAUGCGCAGAUAUUAGGAAGAACACCGGUGGCGAAGGCGGGCUUCUGGGCCACGACUGACGCUGAGGCGCGAAAGCUAGGGGAGCGAACAGGAUUAGAUACCCUGGUAGUCCACGCCAUAAACGAUGAAUACUAGGUGUAGGGGGUAUCGACCCCCUCUGUGCCGACGUUAACACAUUAAGUAUUCCACCUGGGGAGUACGGCCGCAAGGCUGAAACUCAAAUGAAUUGACGGGG
Molecule: ribosomal RNA, 397 nt
Filed under: uncultured bacterium
Lineage: Bacteria
Description: partial 16S ribosomal RNA
Rfam family: Bacterial small subunit ribosomal RNA
Source: RNAcentral